CAGUCGCCACGGGAAUACGAAGGGGGCUAGCGUUGUUCGGAUUUACUGGGCGUAAAGGGCGCGUAGGCGGACUGAUAAGUCAGGGGUGAAAGCCCGGGGCUCAACCUCGGAAUUGCCUUCGAUACUGGCUGUCUUGGGUAUGAGAGAGGUGUGUGGAACUCCGAGUGUAGAGGUGAAAUUCGUAGGUAUUCGGAAGAACAUCAGUGGCGAAGGCGACACACUGGCUCAUUACUGACGCUGAGGCGCGAAAGCGUGGGGAGCAAACAGGAUUAGAUACCCCUGUAGUCCCUGUCUCUUAUAC
RNAcentral lists this ribosomal RNA (301 nucleotides) under uncultured bacterium. RNAcentral's name for it is "partial 16S ribosomal RNA". It matches the Rfam family "Bacterial small subunit ribosomal RNA", at positions 509 to 807 of the family's 1533-position model. The record is from RNAcentral.